RNAcentral lists this ribosomal RNA (1047 nucleotides) under Triticum aestivum (bread wheat). Its description in RNAcentral is "partial small subunit ribosomal RNA". Lineage: Eukaryota; Viridiplantae; Streptophyta; Magnoliopsida; Poales; Poaceae. The record is from RNAcentral.
AUGGGGGCAAAAAUUGACCGCUCUGUAAAUGAUGGCGGGGGUCCAAAUUUUUUUAAAAUCAAUGGUCAGGUUUGCCAUCGUAUAGGCUCGCUGCUUCCAAAUGAGGGUGAUUCUCCCAAAUAUGCAGAGUUAUACAUACAUGACAGAGAAAAUGUGGUUAACAAUAGAAUUCAGGCUUUAAACCAUGAAAAUGAAACUGGUGCAGGGUUAGACAAAGAGAUUGUGAAGGGUCUUACGCAGAUGCUUGAUGUGAACAAUUCUUUGGUCAAGAAAUUUCGUAUGGCCAGUGAGAUUCUGAAAAAUAAUAGGCAUGAAGUGAUUUCAAUAAGACUUAUAGCUCCUGGUGAAAAUGAUAGUGCACAGUUUAAUUUACCUGCAACUGAUGAGCUAGCAGCCUUGGUUUAUGGUGAAUUUACGUUGGAGGCACCAUGUAGAGACCUGAUAAUACGUACUAAAGAAGACCGUCUUCGUCGUAUUUCCUCCUUAGAUACUACUUAAAUGCCUUUGCAAUACCCUCUGUUAUUCCCCUAUGGUGAGCGUGGCUUUCAGCUCGGUGUGCGCUACAUUGAUUCCAAUACCGAUGAUCCAAACAAGAGGGUUAAAAUGACCAUGCAAGACUUCUAUUGCUUCUGCUCGCAUUAUAAACCGGAGCAGCAUAACCCAUAUCUAUGUUGUGGCCUGUUAUCCUCACAGGCUGCUGUUGAUUUUCGAGCUUGCAUUGAUGAAUGCCGGCUCAAUUUUAUUCUUAAGUGUAAUGAUGACAUGCGGGCUGAAAAUCUUCAGGGUAUCGUCGAUGCGGUAGGCCAGGGUAUGGUUGGUGGGUCAGAAGUUGGGAAAAAAAUGUUUUGCCAUCAUCUUAUACCGGUGGUCGCCGGUACAUGUAUGAAAAUUUCCAAGAUGCUAUUGCUGUGUCGCGUGUUCAUGGGUCACCAGAUGUCUUCACUACUUUCACAUGUAACCCAAAGUGGGAAGAGAUCCUUGAUUCUGUUGAUCCCGGGCAAACAGCGACAGAUAGGGCUGACAUUGCUGUUAGGGUGUACCACAUGA